AACGAACGCUGGCGGCAUGCUUAACACAUGCAAGUCGAACGGUCUUAUGGGGCUUGCUCCAUAAGAUAGUGGCAGACGGGUGAGUAACACGUGGGAACGUACCCUAAGGUUCGGAAUAACAGUUGGAAACGACUGAUAAUACCGGAUAUCUCCGAGAGGAGAAAGGUUUACCGCCUUGGGAGCGGCCCGCGUCUGAUUAGGUAGUCGGUGAGGUAAAGGCUCACCAAGCCGAUGAUCAGUAGCUGGUUUGAGAGAAUGAUCAGCCACACUGGGACUGAGACACGGCCCAGACUCCUACGAGAGGCAGCAGUGGGGAAUAUUGGACAAUGGGGGAAACCCUGAUCCAGCAAUGCCGCGUGAGUGAAGAAGGCCUUCGGGUUGUAAAGCUCUUUUGUCCGUGACGAUAAUGACGGUAGCGGACGAAUAAGCACCGGCUAACUUCGUGCCAGCCGCCGCAGUAA
This 461-nucleotide ribosomal RNA is filed under the name uncultured bacterium. RNAcentral's name for it is "partial 16S ribosomal RNA". It matches the Rfam family "Bacterial small subunit ribosomal RNA", at positions 29 to 523 of the family's 1533-position model. The record is from RNAcentral.